CUGAGAGAGAGAGCAAGAGAGCAGGGAAGAAGGCCAGAGAGAGUCUUAAGCAGACUCCACGCUGAACGCAGAGCCCGAAGCGGGGCUUGAUCUCAAUAUACUGAGAUCAUGACCUGAGCCGAAACCAAGAGUCUGGCACUCAACUGACUGCACCACCCAGGCGCCCCUCAUCACAUGUUUUUUACACGUUAUUGCUGAAACUACAAGGCUGCAUCUUGAUGACAGCAGGCUCAUAAGACCUGAUGAACAGAAAACAGCAGAUCUGCCAGAUGACUUGGGAGUUGAAAUUGUCUGAAUGGAAGUAAGAUAGAAGAAAGCAUCUAAUAAAAUUAAGAUGCUGUCCAGUGUGAAGUAUGUAUAUUCUCUGAACCAAACCCGGAAUACAGGAAACAAAGAA
This is a long non-coding RNA of Mirounga angustirostris (Northern elephant seal), 397 nucleotides long. RefSeq lists it as uncharacterized. NCBI's taxonomy places the organism in Eukaryota, Metazoa, Chordata, Mammalia, Carnivora, Phocidae. The transcript has 3 exons. The record is from RefSeq and is a predicted model, not a curated record.